UCACAGGAAGGCCCCAGGCAGUGCCGCCAGGAAGAGGGUUUCUUCCCCGGCUCGCAGCGUCUCUCAGCCACCGUCUUGCAGCUCCUUGUGUGGACACAGUCCACCUUCCGAGACUGGAAGCCCUGACCACAGGCUGACGUACAGGGCCUCCAAGGGCCUGCGUGCCAACAUGCGUCACGAGCCCCCGACGAGCAGUUCCUCCAAAAGGAAACUCAUCUGCAUUGUUCCUGGCUGACUAAGCAAAGUGGUGGAGGAAUCACAACCUCAAUAGAGGCAAGCAAACCGCGUGUUUCCAUGAGCCUCUGGCACCACAUCAAGGCACGCACCUCAAAAGACACACUCUACUGAUGAGCUGGAGCAGAUCGAUUUAGGCAAGGAAGAGAAGAAUGACACAUUUGUUGACAAACUAAACUGAGACCACCUCUGGGCAGAAGGGGAAAGGACAGGGCCAAUCUGUAAUUGACCAGGCUUAGGUUCAGAAAUGACUGUGCUUAAAACCAUAAGCCAUGGCCAAGUUUGGAUUUUCCUGCUCAGAGCAAAAAUGAAGGCUAUAUGUUGAGGUGAAAUUUAAUGAGGCGUUGGAUUUGGAAUCGGUGUUGGAAUGGGUUAUGAGCUCCGGGGAUAUUGAGAUGGGGUCACUUGCCGACUGCGGAAUCCUUCACCGCAAGACACAGAGCACUCUGACCACGUGCCCGUGAACCACCUAAGAACAAAAACUACAGGAGCUUAGUAAGGACAGCCAUCAAGCCAUCACAUUACGGCCGCCCUGACGGUGCACCACCCCGAGGAGACUCAGGAUGAGAAAGCACAGGACACUGGCCCCAGAUAGUGGAGGUGCACAUCAAAGGAAUGAUUUCGGAGUACCAACAAUCCUGACGACAUUGGUAUAUGUCCUUCCCAUGAAUGUUUGUAUAUUUUUGCCAUACAGUCAUACACUCAUAAAUAAAAUAUAUGAUUGUGCCGUAAGUUUUAACUUUACAUGCUAGUAUAUUGUGAGGAUUAUGAUUAUGAUUUUAAUGAGAUAUAAUUUAAAUACUAUAAAAUUCACCCUCUCAAAGUAUAUAAUUCGAUGUUUUUUUUUUAGUGUAUUCAUAAAGUUGUGCAGCCAUCAGUACUAUCUAAUUCCAGAACAUUUUCAUCACCGCAAAAAGACACCCAUGCCUAUUAGUCAUUACUCUCCAUUCUCUUGCAUUUUCCUCUCCUCUUAGCCACUGGCAGCCUUUAAUCGGUCGCUAUGGAUGUGCCUACUCUAGACAUUUCAUGGAAAUGUAAUCAUACACUGUGUGAUCUUUUGUGUCUGGCUUCUUUCACUUACCAUCAUUUUUAAAGAUUCAUCCAUGUUUUAGCAUGUAUCAAUAUUUAAUUCCUUUUUAUGACCAAAUAAAAUCCCAUUGUAUGGAUAUACUACAAUUUCUUUAUCCAUUCAUUAGCUGAUGGAUAUUUAAGUUGUUUCCACCU
Molecule: long non-coding RNA, 1458 nt
Organism: Balaenoptera ricei (Rice's whale)
Lineage: Eukaryota; Metazoa; Chordata; Mammalia; Artiodactyla; Balaenopteridae
Exons: 7
Source: RefSeq, a predicted model, not a curated record